AGAGCUCUGCAAGAUCCGGGAGCAGGCUGCCGUCUAAGGCAUGAGGAAAAUGGUGUCGGAAGAGGUAUCGGGAGUAACUGCUGAAGUCUCUAGUGCUACAGCAAUGAAAUACUGAAAUUGGGUGUCUGGAAGAAAAGAAAUCUGUUUCAACUGAGCUCUGGCUCAAAAGCGGGUUACCAUGGCUUAAUGAAUUAUCCGGUGUUCGCUGAACAACAUGUGUCCUUACAGAAAAGAAAACCAUACUGUCUGAGUCGUGUGGUUACAGCUGAGGACCAAGGCUGCUGUAACAGCAGUGACAGAUUUGUGAACAAAAGUUCCAAAGAAAUUGAAACUUCAGAGGAGGCUGUUUGCAGAAUGUGACCUUUCAGAGAAAUGCAGCCCCGUACCUGACAGUUUAGGGCUGCUCAGGCACGGCACACGUUGCAGCAGCGCUGGCGGGGGCUCAGCUGACAGUGGGACCUUCCAGCUAACGUUGGACACAAAGAGCAACUGACCUCACAUCUCAAGGUGACGACUCCAGUGGGGCUCAAGUGCCCACUGCUAUUUAUUAGGUGUAUUUUUUACAGAGCUUCCAGAACGUUUUGUUACUGGCUUUUGCCUUUUGUGCC
Long non-coding RNA from Oxyura jamaicensis (ruddy duck), 608 nucleotides. RefSeq lists it as uncharacterized. Lineage: Eukaryota; Metazoa; Chordata; Aves; Anseriformes; Anatidae. The record is from RefSeq and is a predicted model, not a curated record. The transcript is spliced from 5 exons.